This 253-nucleotide ribosomal RNA is filed under the name uncultured bacterium. RNAcentral's name for it is "partial 16S ribosomal RNA". It matches the Rfam family "Bacterial small subunit ribosomal RNA", at positions 524 to 776 of the family's 1533-position model. The record is from RNAcentral.
UACGAAGGGGGCUAGCGUUGCUCGGAAUCACUGGGCGUAAAGGGUGCGUAGGCGGGUCUUUAAGUCAGGGGUGAAAUCCUGGAGCUCAACUCCAGAACUGCCUUUGAUACUGAGGAUCUUGAGUUCGGGAAAGGUGAGUGGAACUGCGAGUGUAGAGGUGAAAUUCGUAGAUAUUCGCAAGAACACCAGUGGCGAAGGCGGGUCUCUGGGCCGAUACUGACGCUGAGGAGCGAAAGCGUGGGGAGCGAACAGG